Molecule: long non-coding RNA, 340 nt
Organism: Microplitis mediator
Lineage: Eukaryota; Metazoa; Arthropoda; Insecta; Hymenoptera; Braconidae
Exons: 3
Source: RefSeq, a predicted model, not a curated record
CUUAUUCUUAAUCUCUAUUUCUCUCGCUCGCUCUUGUUGUUUUCUCCCUAAAACAAUGCAAUCUCAUACACAAUAAAACGUAUAUUGUAUUCAAGUUUAAAUUUUGCUGUCGGCGAGCGCACCCGCGUGGAUUCAAAUGAUUGGGAUUUAAAAAAAAAAUAUAAAAAAUAAAUAAAUAGGAUAGAAGCUUAUGAAGAAUCCCAAAUUAUUUACGGGAUUUCAAUAAUAAUCGCAGUACAGAACAUAAAUUAUAAAGUAAAGAAACAAAUGAACAUACCGGUUAACGAUGAAAAUCAGUGGUUGGAGGAUGCUGACUAGCGCAGAACAAAACGUAGUGAUG